RNAcentral lists this unclassified non-coding RNA (378 nucleotides) under plant metagenome. RNAcentral describes it as "partial contains 5.8S ribosomal RNA, internal transcribed spacer 2, and large subunit ribosomal RNA". The stretch from base 1 to 105 matches the Rfam family "5.8S ribosomal RNA", at positions 50 to 154 of the family's 154-position model. The record is from RNAcentral.
GAAAUGCGAUAAGUAAUGUGAAUUGCAGAAUUCAGUGAGUCAUCGAAUCUUUGAACGCACCUUGCGCUCCUUGGUAUUCCUUGGAGCAUGCCUGUUUGAGUAUCAUGAAAUCUUCAAAGUAAAUCUUUUGUUAACUCAAUUGGUUUCUACUUUGGUAUUGGAGGUCUUUGCAGCUUCACACCUGCUCCUCUUUGUUCAUUAGCUGGAUCUCAGUGUUAUGCUUGGUUCCACUCGGCGUGAUAAGUUAUCUAUCGCUGAGGACACUGUAAAAGGUGGCCAAGGUAAAUGCAGAUGAACCGCUUCUAAUAGUCCAUUGACUUGGACAAUACUUUUAUGAUCUGAUCUCAAAUCAGGUAGGACUACCCGCUGAACUUAAGC